UUAAAUUGGUGACUAGAUGCCCA
This 23-nucleotide non-coding RNA is filed under the name Arabidopsis thaliana (thale cress). The record is from RNAcentral. Lineage: Eukaryota; Viridiplantae; Streptophyta; Magnoliopsida; Brassicales; Brassicaceae.